Molecule: ribosomal RNA, 1543 nt
Filed under: Escherichia coli
Lineage: Bacteria; Pseudomonadati; Pseudomonadota; Gammaproteobacteria; Enterobacterales; Enterobacteriaceae
Description: bacterial SSU rRNA
Rfam family: Bacterial small subunit ribosomal RNA
Source: RNAcentral
AAAUUGAAGAGUUUGAUCAUGGCUCAGAUUGAACGCUGGCGGCAGGCCUAACACAUGCAAGUCGAACGGUAACAGGAAGCAGCUUGCUGCUUUCGCUGACGAGUGGCGGACGGGUGAGUAAUGUCUGGGAAACUGCCUGAUGGAGGGGGAUAACUACUGGAAACGGUAGCUAAUACCGCAUAACGUCGCAAGACCAAAGAGGGGGACCUUCGGGCCUCUUGCCAUCGGAUGUGCCCAGAUGGGAUUAGCUUGUUGGUGGGGUAACGGCUCACCAAGGCGACGAUCCCUAGCUGGUCUGAGAGGAUGACCAGCCACACUGGAACUGAGACACGGUCCAGACUCCUACGGGAGGCAGCAGUGGGGAAUAUUGCACAAUGGGCGCAAGCCUGAUGCAGCCAUGCCGCGUGUAUGAAGAAGGCCUUCGGGUUGUAAAGUACUUUCAGCGGGGAGGAAGGGAGUAAAGUUAAUACCUUUGCUCAUUGACGUUACCCGCAGAAGAAGCACCGGCUAACUCCGUGCCAGCAGCCGCGGUAAUACGGAGGGUGCAAGCGUUAAUCGGAAUUACUGGGCGUAAAGCGCACGCAGGCGGUUUGUUAAGUCAGAUGUGAAAUCCCCGGGCUCAACCUGGGAACUGCAUCUGAUACUGGCAAGCUUGAGUCUCGUAGAGGGGGGUAGAAUUCCAGGUGUAGCGGUGAAAUGCGUAGAGAUCUGGAGGAAUACCGGUGGCGAAGGCGGCCCCCUGGACGAAGACUGACGCUCAGGUGCGAAAGCGUGGGGAGCAAACAGGAUUAGAUACCCUGGUAGUCCACGCCGUAAACGAUGUCGACUUGGAGGUUGUGCCCUUGAGGCGUGGCUUCCGGAGCUAACGCGUUAAGUCGACCGCCUGGGGAGUACGGCCGCAAGGUUAAAACUCAAAUGAAUUGACGGGGGCCCGCACAAGCGGUGGAGCAUGUGGUUUAAUUCGAUGCAACGCGAAGAACCUUACCUGGUCUUGACAUCCACGGAAGUUUUCAGAGAUGAGAAUGUGCCUUCGGGAACCGUGAGACAGGUGCUGCAUGGCUGUCGUCAGCUCGUGUUGUGAAAUGUUGGGUUAAGUCCCGCAACGAGCGCAACCCUUAUCCUUUGUUGCCAGCGGUCCGGCCGGGAACUCAAAGGAGACUGCCAGUGAUAAACUGGAGGAAGGUGGGGAUGACGUCAAGUCAUCAUGGCCCUUACGACCAGGGCUACACACGUGCUACAAUGGCGCAUACAAAGAGAAGCGACCUCGCGAGAGCAAGCGGACCUCAUAAAGUGCGUCGUAGUCCGGAUUGGAGUCUGCAACUCGACUCCAUGAAGUCGGAAUCGCUAGUAAUCGUGGAUCAGAAUGCCACGGUGAAUACGUUCCCGGGCCUUGUACACACCGCCCGUCACACCAUGGGAGUGGGUUGCAAAAGAAGUAGGUAGCUUAACCUUCGGGAGGGCGCUUACCACUUUGUGAUUCAUGACUGGGGUGAAGUCGUAACAAGGUAACCGUAGGGGAACCUGCGGUUGGAUCACCUCCUUA